This 302-nucleotide unclassified non-coding RNA is filed under the name plant metagenome. RNAcentral's name for it is "partial contains small subunit ribosomal RNA, internal transcribed spacer 1, and 5.8S ribosomal RNA". The stretch from base 254 to 302 matches the Rfam family "5.8S ribosomal RNA", at positions 1 to 49 of the family's 154-position model. The record is from RNAcentral.
UUUCCGUAGGUGAACCUGCGGAAGGAUCAUUGUCGAAACCUGCCCAGCAGAACGACCCGCGAACUUGUAUAAACAACCGGGGGCGGGGGGCGUUCUCGCCCCGUGCCCCCGAACGGCGGGGAGACACUCGUGCCUUCUUGCCGAACAACGACCCCCGGCGCGGUCUGCGCCAAGGAACUUCAACUAAAGAGUGCCUCCGGUCGCCUCGGAAACGGCGUGCGUGCCGGGGGCGAAUCUUGUGCAAAACCAUAACGACUCUCGGCAACGGAUAUCUCGGCUCUCGCCUCGAUGAAGAACGCAGG